RNAcentral lists this ribosomal RNA (465 nucleotides) under uncultured bacterium. Its description in RNAcentral is "partial 16S ribosomal RNA". It matches the Rfam family "Bacterial small subunit ribosomal RNA", at positions 338 to 795 of the family's 1533-position model. The record is from RNAcentral.
CCUACGGGAGGCAGCAGUAGGGAAUUUUCCACAAUGGGCGAAAGCCUGAUGGAGCAACGCCGCGUGGGUGAAGAAGGUCUUCGGAUCGUAAAACCCUGUUGUUAGAGAAGAAAGUGCGUGAGAGUAACUGUUCACGUUUCGACGGUAUCUAACCAGAAAGCCACGGCUAACUACGUGCCAGCAGCCGCGGUAAUACGUAGGUGGCAAGCGUUAUCCGGAUUGAUUGGGCGUAAGGGGAACGUGGGCGGUCUUUUAAGUCUGAUGUGAAAGCUUUCGGCUUAACCGGAGUAGUGCAUUGGAAACUGGGAGACUUGAGUGCAGAAGAGGAGAGUGGAACUCGAGGUGUAGCGGUGAAAUGCGUAGAUAUAUGGAAGAACACCAGUGGCGAAGGCAGCUCUCUGGUCUGUAACUGACGCUGAGGUUCGAAAGCGUGGGUAGCAAACAGGAUUAGAUACCCCAGUAGUC